RNAcentral lists this ribosomal RNA (484 nucleotides) under uncultured bacterium. RNAcentral describes it as "partial 16S ribosomal RNA". It matches the Rfam family "Bacterial small subunit ribosomal RNA", at positions 30 to 507 of the family's 1533-position model. The record is from RNAcentral.
AUUGAACGCUGGCGGCAGGCCUAACACAUGCAAGUCGAGCGGAUGAAGCGAGCUUGCUCCUGGAUUCAGCGGCGGACGGGUGAGUAAUGCCUAGGAAUCUGCCUGGUAGUGGGGGAUAACGUCCGGAAACGGGCCCUAAUACCGCAUACGUCCUGUGGGCGAAAGUGGGUGAUCUUCGGACCUCACGCUAUCAUCUGAGCCUAGGUCGGAUUCCCUACUUGGUGGGGUAAAGGCCUACCAAGGCGACGAUCCGUAACUGGUCUGAGAGGAUGAUCAGUCACACUGGAACUGAGACACGGUCCAGACUCCUACGGGAGGCAGCAGCGGGGAAUAUUGGACAAUGGGCGAAAGACUGAUACAGCCAUGCCGCGUGUGUGAAGAAGGUCUUCGGAUUGUAAAGCACUUUAAGUUGGGAGGAAGGGAAGUAAGUUAAUACCUUGCUGUUUUGACGUUACCAACAGAAUAAGCACCGGCUAACUUCGUG